This 332-nucleotide ribosomal RNA is filed under the name uncultured bacterium. RNAcentral describes it as "bacterial SSU rRNA". It matches the Rfam family "Bacterial small subunit ribosomal RNA", at positions 29 to 342 of the family's 1533-position model. The record is from RNAcentral.
AACGAACGCUGGCGGCGUGCCUAACACAUGCAAGUCGAGCGGGAAAAUUCCCUUCGGGGAGUGAGUACAGCGGCGAACGGGUGAGUACAACGUAGGUAACCUACCCCCGAGCCUGGGAUAACCUGUCGAAAGACGGGCUAAUACCGGAUAAGACCACGAAAGCUCCGGCUUUUGAGGUAAAAGGUGGCCUCUGCUUGCAAGCUACCACUUGAGGAUGGGCCUGCGCGCCAUUAGCUAGUUGGUGAGGUAACGGCUCACCAAGGCGAAGAUGGCUAGCUGGUCUGAGAGGAUGGCCAGCCACACUGGGACUGAGACACGGCCCAGACUCCUAC